CCGUCAUUAGCUCAACUGGAUAGAGCUCAGAGUGUCUGUCUACUUCUGGAGAUCGGGGUUCGAAUCCUCGGUGACGGAUCA
RNAcentral lists this transfer RNA (81 nucleotides) under Enterobacteriaceae bacterium strain FGI 57. Its description in RNAcentral is "tRNA-OTHER". Lineage: Bacteria; Pseudomonadati; Pseudomonadota; Gammaproteobacteria; Enterobacterales; Enterobacteriaceae. The record is from RNAcentral.